Molecule: ribosomal RNA, 253 nt
Filed under: uncultured bacterium
Lineage: Bacteria
Description: partial 16S ribosomal RNA
Rfam family: Bacterial small subunit ribosomal RNA
Source: RNAcentral
UACAGAGGUCUCAAGCGUUGUUCGGAUUCAUUGGGCGUAAAGGGCUCGUAGGCGGCCAACUAAGUCGGAUGUGAAAUCCCCAGGCUCAACUUGGGAACUGCAUCCGAUACUGGAUGGCUUGAAUUCGGGAGAGGGAUGCAGAAUUCCAGGUGUAGCGGUGAAAUGCGUAGAUAUCUGGAGGAAUACCGGUGGCGAAGGCGGCAUCCUGGACCGACAUUGACGCUGAGGAGCGAAAGCUAGGGGAGCAAACGGG